RNAcentral lists this ribosomal RNA (492 nucleotides) under uncultured bacterium. RNAcentral's name for it is "partial 16S ribosomal RNA". It matches the Rfam family "Bacterial small subunit ribosomal RNA", at positions 29 to 507 of the family's 1533-position model. The record is from RNAcentral.
AGUGAACGCUGGCGGUAGGCCUAACACAUGCAAGUCGAACGGCAGCACAGUAAGAGCUUGCUCUUACGGGUGGCGAGUGGCGGACGGGUGAGGAAUACAUCGGAAUCUACUUUUUCGUGGGGGAUAACGUAGGGAAACUUACGCUAAUACCGCAUACGACCUACGGGUGAAAGCAGGGGAUCUUCGGACCUUGCGCGAUUGAAUGAGCCGAUGUCGGAUUAGCUAGUUGGCGGGGUAAAGGCCCACCAAGGCAACGAUCCGUAGCUGGUCUGAGAGGAUGAUCAGCCACACUGGAACUGAGACACGGUCCAGACUCCUACGGGAGGCAGCAGUGGGGAAUAUUGGACAAUGGGCGAAAGCCUGAUCCAGCCAUACCGCGUGGGUGAAGAAGGCCUUCGGGUUGUAAAGCCCUUUUGUUGGGAAAGAAAAGCAGCAGGUUAAUACCCCGCUGUUCUGACGGUACCUAAAGAAUAAGCACCGGCUAACUUCGUG